This 1358-nucleotide ribosomal RNA is filed under the name uncultured bacterium. Its description in RNAcentral is "partial 16S ribosomal RNA". It matches the Rfam family "Bacterial small subunit ribosomal RNA", at positions 100 to 1377 of the family's 1533-position model. The record is from RNAcentral.
GGGGGGGGAAAAUAUCCGCCCCCCCCAAAAAAAAAAAAAAAAUUUUUUUGGGGGGUUUUUAAAUUUUCCCCCCCCCCCUUUUAUUUUUUUUUUUUUUUUUUUAAAAAAAAAGGGGGGGGGGGGUUUUUUGCGGAGCCCCCUCCCCCCUUUUUUUCAAAAGAGGGCCCCUGGGUUAAAAAUUUUAGGUUUUUUUGGUUGGGGGUAAAAAACCCUUCCCAAGGGCCAAACGUUUUUUUAGUGUGUUUUGAGGGGGGAUGGUUCAACCCCCAUUCGGGAAUUGAGGACCCGGCCCGAAAUUCCUUCCGGGAGGGCAGCCGUGGGGGAAUAUUGGACAAUUGGGGGCAACCCUGAUCCAAGCCAUUCCGGCGUGUGUGAAGAAAGCCCUGAGGGUUGGUAAAGCACUUUUCAAUUGUGAAGAAAAGUUAACCGGUUUAUUAACGGUUACCCUUGACGUUACUUUUAGAAGAAGCACCGGCUAACUCCGUGCCAGCAGCCGCGGUAAUACGGAGGGUGCAAGCGUUUAUCGGAAUUACUGGGCGUAAAGCGUGCGUAGGCGGUUUAUUAAGUCAGAUGUGAAAGCCCCGGGCUUAACCUGGGAACUGCAUUUGAAACUGGUCAACUAGAGUAUGGUAGAGGAAAGUGGAAUUUCUGGUGUAGCGGUGAAAUGCGUAGAUAUCAGAAGGAACAUCAAUGGCGAAGGCAGCUUUCUGGACCAAUACUGACGCUGAGGUACGAAAGCGUGGGUAGCAAACAGGAUUAGAUACCCUGGUAGUCCACGCCGUAAACGAUGAUAACUAGCCGUUGGGGGGAUUUACCCCUUAGUGGCGAAGCUAACGCGUUAAGUUAUCCGCCUGGGGAGUACGGCCGCAAGGCUAAAACUCAAAGGAAUUGACGGGGACCCGCACAAGCGGUGGAGCAUGUGGUUUAAUUCGAUGCAACGCGAAGAACCUUACCUGGUCUUGACAUCCUGCGAACUUUCUAGAAAUAGAUUGGUGCCUUCGGGAACGCAGUGACAGGUGCUGCAUGACUGUCGUCAGCUCGUGUCGUGAGAUGUUGGGUUAAGUCCCGUAACGAGCGCAACCCCUAUCCUUAUUUGCCAGCACAUUAUGGUGGGAACUAUAAGGAGACUGCCGGUGAUAAACCGGAGGAAGGCGGGGACGACGUCAAGUCAUCAUGGCCCUUACGACCAGGGCUACACACGUGCUACAAUGGGAAGGACAAAGAGCCGCGAAGCCGCGAGGUGUAGCUAAUCUCACAAAUCUUUUCGUAGUCCGGAUUGGAGUCUGCAACUCGACUCCAUGAAGUCGGAAUCGCUAGUAAUCGUAGAUCAGAUGCUACUGUAUUGCGCUUGUCCUCGC